Molecule: non-coding RNA, 253 nt
Filed under: uncultured bacterium
Lineage: Bacteria
Also listed under: 2 other names
Description: partial 16S ribosomal RNA
Rfam family: Bacterial small subunit ribosomal RNA
Source: RNAcentral
UACGAAGGGGGCUAGCGUUGUUCGGAAUCACUGGGCGUAAAGGGCGCGUAGGCGGCUUUAUAAGUCGGGGGUGAAAGCCUGUGGCUCAACCACAGAAUUGCCUUCGAUACUGUAUGGCUUGAGACCGGAAGAGGUAAGUGGAACUGCGAGUGUAGAGGUGAAAUUCGUAGAUAUUCGCAAGAACACCAGUGGCGAAGGCGGCUUACUGGUCCGGUUCUGACGCUGAGGCGCGAAAGCGUGGGGAGCAAACAGG